RNAcentral lists this long non-coding RNA (443 nucleotides) under Carica papaya (papaya). Its description in RNAcentral is "long non-coding RNA (CPAP_LNC003579)". The record is from RNAcentral. Lineage: Eukaryota; Viridiplantae; Streptophyta; Magnoliopsida; Brassicales; Caricaceae.
GAUAUUGGGAAGAAAAAUUCUAGGGAAGGGUCUUUGCCAUAUUUGCCAAGUCAUGAUUGAUCUAAGAAAUAUAUAAAACAACCACUCUUUGGCCGCAUCAUCCAAAGAGAAUGGGAAUGCUCGUAGCUUGAUUUACUCUUUAGACGCACCUUAGGGUUUCAUGCUGGAACAGACCACAUGGAAUUCCUUGAGGUGUUUAUGCAGGUUCUCAUUCUCUAUACCCUAAAAGCUAGGGAGUAGGUGGAUUAAACCAUAUUUUAGUUCAAAGGAGACAUCUAAAUCUGGGCAGUGAUGCAGAGGGGUUGCUGGUUUUGGGGGGGGGGGGGCAGUUGCAAGCUCCCGCAACGUGCGUUCUUGUUCCAUGUUUUAUGGUUUUGGUACUGCAAAUUGAGUGUUGUCCUGAUGCAUUUUCCUUCUUUCUCUAGUCUGUCUCCUCAAACGUU